Molecule: long non-coding RNA, 939 nt
Filed under: Populus trichocarpa (black cottonwood)
Lineage: Eukaryota; Viridiplantae; Streptophyta; Magnoliopsida; Malpighiales; Salicaceae
Description: long non-coding RNA (PTRI_LNC000295)
Source: RNAcentral
CAGGGUAUAAAAAUAAUAAUUAAUAUAGUAUAAAUAAAUUGUAUGUGGAUUUCAAUCACAAGUGCAACAAGGGUAUGGUAGCAGAAAAACUUGACCGAGACGAUAAUGUUUGAAUCUAGCAGGGUACAAAAUUUUCCUCUCCCUCCUCCCUAAUCCUGCUGAUUCACCGAGUUUGACUGGUUCCGAACCAGGAAAAUUAAGCUAUUAGAUAUCCAAUAAUUUAUCACAAAGACUAAUAAUGAACUGCUGUAGCUAAUGAUGAAUUACUGCUGUUGCUAGUGAGAAUUUAUGAUAUUCUUUCCUGAAGCCAAAGAAGAUGAAAGAUAGCGGCGAUCAUACAAGUUCUUUUAACCAUAUCUGGAUGAAAAUUAAAAAGCAGUCAAAGAAAUACGGGGGAAAGGUUCAAUGCAUCAACAAAAGCACAGACAUUGCCAAAGUGCUGCGCUGAAGUCGCCCCAGCAAGCUUGUUUCUGCUUUAGGAGAAUUUUCCGCCGAAGUUAAGGUCCGACGCACUACCAUUUGCCACUAUACCUGUAUAGUAGUAACAUGCCCUUUGCCGCUCUAUCACACAUUGCUCUUCUUGUUCUUUCCUCUCUCCUUCCUCCAAGCUCAUUAAAACCCAGUUUCUUUUCUUAAAAUUCUCUUACACUAUCAUAUAAUUAGAUAAUCAUCUAAUAAUGCCUGUUUAAACUUAGUUUUAAGCUAAGGUAUACUGAAACGCAAAUAAAUUACAGCUUAGCUUAUAUUCAUAUACUCGACUCGUCCUUUCUCCAGAAGUUUCAGUUUAGCACCGAUAUUUUUCAAUAAGAAAAGUAUACCGAAAAGAUGAAAGGAAAAACGCGUGUAGAAAAUGGCGACAAACAAAAGUGAAAAGGUCCUAUCUUUUUGUAAAGGUUAUGGGGCUGUAUGCCGAGUUACUAUCAGCCACCCACCCUUGUG